RNAcentral lists this ribosomal RNA (509 nucleotides) under uncultured Paracoccaceae bacterium. RNAcentral's name for it is "bacterial SSU rRNA". It matches the Rfam family "Bacterial small subunit ribosomal RNA", at positions 386 to 913 of the family's 1533-position model. The record is from RNAcentral. Lineage: Bacteria; Pseudomonadati; Pseudomonadota; Alphaproteobacteria; Rhodobacterales; Paracoccaceae.
ACUUGACGGGCCCCCUGAGUGACUGACGCGCCUCUGGUCGGAAAGCUCUGUCGCCGGGGAAGAUAAUGACUGUACCCGGUAAAGAAGUCCCGGCUAACUCCGUGCCAGCAGCCGCGGUAAUACGGAGGGGACUAGCGUUGUUCGGAAUUACUGGGCGUAAAGCGCGCGUAGGCGGAUAUUUAAGUCAGGGGUGAAAUCCCGGGGCUCAACCCCGGAACUGCCCUUGAUACUGGGUAUCUUGAGUUCGAGAGAGGUGAGUGGAAUUCCGAGUGUAGAGGUGAAAUUCGUAGAUAUUCGGAGGAACACCAGUGGCGAAGGCGGCUCACUGGCUCGAUACUGACGCUGAGGUGCGAAAGUGUGGGGAGCAAACAGGAUUAGAUACCCUGGUAGUCCACACCGUAAACGAUGAAUGCCAGACGUCGGGCAGUAUACUGUUCGGUGUCACACCUAACGGAUUAAGCAUUCCGCCUGGGGAGUACGGUCGCAAGAUUAAAACUCAAAGGAAUUGA